GACGAACGCUGGCGGCGUGCUUAACACAUGCAAGUCGAGCGGUAAGGCCCUUUCGGGGGUACACGAGCGGCGAACGGGUGAGUAACACGUGGGUGACCUGCCCUCAGCUCUGGGAUAAGCCCGGGAAACUGGGUCUAAUACCGGAUAUGACUUCAUGACGCAUGUUGUGGAGUGGAAAGCCUUGUGCGGCUGAGGAUGGGCCCGCGGCCUAUCAGCUUGUUGGUGGGGUGAGGCCUACC
Molecule: ribosomal RNA, 239 nt
Filed under: uncultured bacterium
Lineage: Bacteria
Description: partial 16S ribosomal RNA
Rfam family: Bacterial small subunit ribosomal RNA
Source: RNAcentral